This 324-nucleotide RNase P RNA is filed under the name chicken gut metagenome. Its description in RNAcentral is "Bacterial RNase P class B". It matches the Rfam family "Bacterial RNase P class B". Rfam says of the family: Ribonuclease P (RNase P) is a ubiquitous endoribonuclease, found in archaea, bacteria and eukarya as well as chloroplasts and mitochondria. Its best characterised activity is the generation of mature 5'-ends of tRNAs by cleaving the 5'-leader elements of precursor-tRNAs. The record is from RNAcentral.
AUGAUUGCUGGCUAUUGCUAGAGGAAAGUCCAUGCUCGCACAUUGCUGAGACGCAUGUAGUGUUUGUGCUAGAAGAAAAAAUAAUUCUAGGUAUUAAGCCUCUUAAUAACGGCCUUUCUUUAUCUAAGGCUAUGCUAUGAAAAAAGAAAGCUAAGGUGCCACAGAGACGAUUUUAUUAGAAAUAGUAAAGUGAAACGCGGUAAACCCCACAAGCGAGAAACCCAAAUUUUGGUAGGGGAGAUCACUAAAGGGAAUUGAACUAAUAGUGGUAUAUACUUUGUGUAUAUAGAUAAAUAAUCAUUCCAGACAAAACAUGGCUUAUAG